RNAcentral lists this ribosomal RNA (432 nucleotides) under uncultured bacterium. Its description in RNAcentral is "partial 16S ribosomal RNA". It matches the Rfam family "Bacterial small subunit ribosomal RNA", at positions 29 to 506 of the family's 1533-position model. The record is from RNAcentral.
AGCGAACGCUGGCGGCAGGCUUAACACAUGCGAGUCGAGCGGGCCUUUCGGGGUCAGCGGCGGACGGGUGAGUAACGCGUGGGAACGUGCCCUCUGGUUCGGAAUAACUCAGGGAAACUUGAGCUAAUACCGGAUACGCCCUUUUGGGGAAAGGCUUGCUGCCGGAGGAUCGGCCCGCGUCUGAUUAGCUAGUUGGUGAGGUAACGGCUCACCAAGGCGACGAUCAGUAGCUGGUCUGAGAGGAUGAUCAGCCACACUGGGACUGAGACACGGCCCAGACCCCCACGGGAGGCAGCAGGGGGGAAUAUUGGACAAUGGGCGCAACCCUGAUCCAGCCCUGCCGGGUGGGUGAUGAAGGCCUUAGGGUUGUAAAGCUCUUUUAUCCGGGACGAUAAUGACGGUACCGGAGGAAUAAGCCCCGGCUAACUUCGU